UACGUAGGGGGCAAGCGUUGUCCGGAAUCAUUGGGCGUAAAGCGCGUGUAGGCGGCUUGGUAAGUCCGCUCUGAAAGUCCGGGGCUCAACCCCGGGAGGCGGGUGGAUACUGUCAAGCUCGAGUCCGGAAGAGGCGAGUGGAAUUCCCGGUGUAGCGGUGAAAUGCGCAGAUAUCGGGAGGAACACCAAUGGCGAAGGCAGCUCGCUGGGACGUGACUGACGCUGAGACGCGAAAGCGUGGGGAGCAAACAGG
RNAcentral lists this ribosomal RNA (253 nucleotides) under uncultured bacterium. Its description in RNAcentral is "partial 16S ribosomal RNA". It matches the Rfam family "Bacterial small subunit ribosomal RNA", at positions 524 to 776 of the family's 1533-position model. The record is from RNAcentral.